Molecule: non-coding RNA, 117 nt
Organism: Caulobacter vibrioides
Lineage: Bacteria; Pseudomonadati; Pseudomonadota; Alphaproteobacteria; Caulobacterales; Caulobacteraceae
Source: Rfam
CACACGCGGACGUUCGGCAGCAUCGGGGAGACAUCCCGGCGUCGCCGUUCCGGUCCCGCCUCCAGAAUGGUCUGGAGCGGGGGUGUCCGCGGAGGUUCAACCGGAAAAAGGAUAAAG